RNAcentral lists this long non-coding RNA (1065 nucleotides) under Heterocephalus glaber (naked mole-rat). RNAcentral's name for it is "lncRNA (ENSHGLG00100033700.1)". The record is from RNAcentral. Lineage: Eukaryota; Metazoa; Chordata; Mammalia; Rodentia; Bathyergidae.
CCGCACCGAGAGGAGCGGGCAGCGUGAACUUUACCCGCGCCUGCAAAAUUGGCCAGAGCCCGAGACCGCGGCCGCUUUGGCCCAAGCCUGACACCCCCCCACACACACCUGGCAGCGGGCCUGGUUUCUUGGCUGCUACUUAGCACCUCUACAGCACUUUUCUUCAAAGCCUUUUGCAGACUUUCUCUAAAGACCCUGCUUUUCACCCCCUUUGGCAAGCCCGAAGGAAGGACUGAUCUUUGUUCAGACUAUCAGUUUUCCUCUGCUCUGUCCACGUUAGCUGGUCCUGACAAGGCCCUGAGGGCAAGAGGUCCAGAUUAUCCCAGUUUUACAGAAUUGAAAGACAAAGGGAGGGGACUGCCCAGGUCUCCUAAAAGUCAGAGGUCAGAGGAAAGUGGCUAUAAGAAGAAGUGAAGUCUCCAAAACUGCCUCCUGUAUACUUAGCCUUUAAAAAGAAAAAAGGAAAGUAUUCAAGUUGUGAGCAAAUCCAACAGUGAGCAGAGUGGCAGAAAGGGUUCGAAAUCGAACUGGUCAUCUCACCACUGACUUCAAAUGGUAGCCUCUGAAGCUGCUUUGGGGACAGAGUCAAGCAGUCCAAACUCCAUUAUCACUUCCUAAGAGAACUUAUAGCUCGAAAUGACCAGUGCACCAUUUCCAAAGACAGUACCUGAAAGUAUAAACAGCCCAGAAAAGAGGCUCCGUGGACUGCUGGAACGUGAGUGUUUCAAAAAACCACUUCAGAAGAGGGAAUACAGACCUUUUAAAGAAAAGGAGAAUUUUAUCAUCUAGCCAGUCCGCAAGGCAUUCGGCAAACGCGGACUGGAUCUCCGGCCGCGCGGAUCAGGUGGAGUUUCGGGGCCCAGGAACUCCAGUGGCUGCGGCCGCCAAGGAAGGGGGCAGGGCUGCCGGGACCCACCGGCUGAAAAUGGCAGAGGAUGUGCUCUUCAUUUUAUCAGGCUACACAGCGUGCUAUGGAUUGGGCCCAAGCCUAAAGGGAUGACCUAUGAAAAUCCCACACAGUCAACUGCAAAAUGUGGAAACAGGGCCUGGAGGCUUUGCUAGGAG